UUUGUUUUUUGUCUUAGAACACAGAACAUCCGGUUGUCUCUGGAUCAUUCUGUAAUCUACAUCUUUUUCCCCUCAUUCCUCCUUUUUUUGGUGGAGGUCAUGAGAAAUUUAUCUUUCUUAAACUACUAGAGAAAAUAAUUUGGGGUGCGUCAAGAGUCAGUUUAAAAGCAAAAAUUAAUUUGAAUUUUACUGGUUUGGCACACAUGUUUGUUUUGAUAAAACCAAGAUUUGUCAUGUAAUAAUUUGUUUUUCAGUUAUUAAAUAAAUAUUUGAAAACUUUCUGUGUGCUAGGUAAUAUGCUUUGUGCUGGGUAAAAAGGUAGAAAAAUAGAUACAGUCCCUGUUUGGAAGCUUGUCUGUGCUGCGUUUAGGUGAAUUUUCUGAUUCUCUUUUAACAUCACCAGACCUGGCACUUCACACACCAUAGACUCGUGUUCAAGUUCAGUUCAGUUGUCUACUACUCUGAGACACAGAGAGUGGGCUGGUGAGCAUUCACUUGUGGAAGACAGUGAAACAUCCAGUUUUGUGGGCUGCUUCAGUUUAGGUAUGUAGUCUAGGUGAGGGUUAUAGGUGGAUUUUGUUCUGAAUUCCUCUUUGCUACAUUAAAGAUAAACCUCUUGUCAGAUUAUGAUGCCCUGUUCUUGGCAUUCUAAAAUAAUAGGGUCUUGUUCUGUUCCCUUUCCUUAACUCAGUCUUGGGUUAUGAACAUUUUGCAGAGACUUGAUUAACGCAGCUAAGGUGGUGAUGUUCUCAUUUGACUCUGCCUUUUUCAAAUAAAGAUUAGGUAAGUGUGUGUAUGUAGUGGCUAUGUCCUUUUCACAGGAGCUGGGAAAAUCCCAGCAAACAAACUUUUUCUUUAUCCCUUUCUAUAAGUACUCUACCUUAAGCUGUUGAAUCCUGCUACUGGUGAAAUUCUCUUCAGUAGGUCACCUCUGUGCUUGAACCUGAUGUAUCACUUUUUACUUGGGAUGCUCUUAGCUCUGUAGUACCUUGCCAGUAGUAGUACUAGGUCAUCAAAGAAAAAGGUAAAAUAGAAUAUGUAGUUCAGAAUCAAGCUUGAUUUGAUUAUAAAAGUUUGGCUGUUAGUUCUUGCUAUGGAAAUAUCAAAUGAUAUUUUUGACGACUGGAAAGUAAAUUCAGGAAUCCUGGGCUUAUUAUGGGAAUGCCUACUGGCAGAAAUUCUGGGCUGGCUGAAAUACAGGACUCUUAGAGUUCUCUCAAGUAGGAGGGACCAGGAAAACCAUACUGAGGUGGCACUUAGUUUGGGGGCUUACUGUCCAUAAGAGUACUGGUGGUGAUGGAGGUUGGGAUGGUGAUGAGAAAAGAGAAAGCAUCCAGGACCAAAAUUGCCUUGUUUCUGUUGGGCGCUGUGAAGAAUUUUUUAGGAUCCUUCCUUUGAGUAUGAUACACAGUAACCAUCAUAAGUGGCACCUGCUGUAACAAGAUGUCUUGGAUUACAUUAAACAUUUAUACGUUGGAUUGAUUCCUGUAAGGUGUGAGGUCUACAAUAGGUCUUUUGCAAAGAAGUUAGUGAAGUUUUUUUUAAAUGUAGAAAUAGGCUAACAAAGUAAUGGUCAGGGCCCCUUCUUAUUCCCAUCCUCCUGCCCCAAAGGUUGUAUUAAUUGGCUGCAGAUCCCCAAAUUUUAGAAGCAACUGAAGCAUGCAAAUAAUGGUUAAAAUAUGGUAUUCAAAAUAAAUUGACACCAUAUAAUUUUUUCCUGCCAGUGAGCUGAGAUACCUCAAUCUCUGAAUGGAUUACUGUUUCCUUUUUAUGUCCAGGUUAUACCUUGCUUAGAUUGGUCGAUAUCAUUACGGAUACACAUUGAGUUGUGUGUGGUACAGUGGUGAGGAGUAAAGAGCACAGGACUCAGGAACAGGCGGCUUUGGUUCUACACGCAGUUCUGGAUUAAGCUUUGUGACUGUGGGCAAGUCAUUUGCCUUCUCUGUUGCAUUUUUUUCUUCAUCAGUAAAGUGAGGUUGGAGAAUUGCAUGACCUCUCUCUGUGAUGCUAUAUAUCUCUCUGUGCUUUCGUAUUUGACUUGUUAUGAGGUAGCUUCUUCCUCUACAUUUAUAACUAGAGGUCUUGAGACCAUCUUUCUUACCCUGUGCUUAAGGAACUGAAGGCUGUUUUCUCCUGAGGAUUUACAGGAAUAACCUCUGAACAGCUGGGUGCAAUGGUGGCAGAAAAAGCAAAUACCACCAGACUGUUUGCCAUGGAGCUGUUAAUGUUUGUCAUCAGUCAUUCCACCUGGCUGGUGGUUUAAAAACACUAAAUAAUAAUUGAAAAAUUAAACAGACAUCACUAAAGGAGGACUUGAAAAAUAGUUGCUUCAGAAUCUCCUAAUUUUGGGGAUGUAUUAGGGAUGGGAAGUGGAUAUUCAUAAAUUCAGCAUUAGCACUGCUUAUUUAGCGGGGGAUAGGAAGGUGGGGAGAGGUAGGUAGCAUUAAACUCUCCAGACUUUCUGGUGUUUGGGCAGGUCUAGGUCUGGUUUGGGCAGUUGGUUGUAAUCUGAGUGCCUGAACUUGCCCUGCAAAUUUUGCUGAGAGAGGAGCAAAAGUUCCUGAGACUAGGAAAAGCUGAUAGUGUCAGGGUCAGUUUCAUAGGUAUGCUGCCUUUUCUCAUGCCCCUGGUUUUUGAAACUAUGUGGUGUGGUUUGCAAGUGGUCUUGGAGAUGCUGUUCUUUCUCUUCUCUGGCACACCUGAAUUUCCAUUUUUUUUCCUCCUGGCUUAGUAGUUUAGAAGCGUAAUUUAGGCAUAUUAGAGGUGUGCUAGAAGGAAGCUUCCCUUUAUAAAAAAGGAAAAAAGGUGAUGGGAAAGUUGUUUGAUAAUUCUCUGCUUGACGCAGCAGCUUCUUCCCCUCUGAAGGAACCAAAUGUUUCAGAGCUUUGUGUAAAUACUUGCUGAGCUGUCAAUAUGUACCCAGGAGGUUUCUGUAGUAAGAUGUGAACAGCUCUAUAGAAUGUUUGACAGGCAAAUUAAUAAACAGUUUCCAAGGAAAGAUAAUGCUGCUCUCUUCUCAUGUGGUGAAAUAAAAAUAACAUAGGAGAAAAAGACGAGACUAGGGAAGAGGGUAGGUAGUGUAGGGGGGCACGUAGAGCAUGGAGAUAAGAAGAGAUGAUCUAAAAGAGAUUUGAACCUAAAAGAUGCUGCCCUGGAAGAGAAGCCUCUGUGACCCUUGGCUCCAUGCUGAGUUCAGGGCAUGUGGAGCCCUGUUCAAAACAAAUUGCAGUUUCAGAGUGAAAACAAAUAGAAGCCUGGAAAGAAGGGCACCCUAAUUUCAAUAGUGAGGUGUGUUCCAAAAUCUUGGUUUAUGAGACUUUGAGUUUUAAAGCCUUUUUCUUUGAGAAAGGUUUUGUAGUUUGGUGAGAUGUUUUUAGGGUUGGGUUUGCAUUUUUGGAAUACCAAUACCAGAAAGUAGAAGAAAGGUCUACUGCAACUUCAGCAUCCUCUUCAGCCUUUGUCCUGCUGUGGCUCUCAGGAUUAUAAACCCACACCAAGGGCUGGAUUAUUUAUAUACUUUUUACUGGACUCCUGUGUAUUACUUAUAUGUGUAUUAAAAUUAAUGCCCCCAGGUUCCUGGGUCAGUGCAAAGUCCAAAUGUUUGGGGACUACUAAAUCCUGCCUGAAGGGUUAUGUGAGUAGAUUCAGACUUUGUUUUUGAAAUUGCCAUUUUAGGAUUAAAAACAUUUCUGGUUCCUUCAGUGACACACUCUUUUUAUGGAGGUAUUUUAGAAGUACAGUAUCUUAGCUGUCUGCCUGUGGUAUACUCUCCUUUGGUAGCCUUGUAAGAUGACCAGAUUUGCCCUUGAAAGUCCCUUUUUUAAACUAAAUCCACUGACUCUGAUACCAGUUUUCUUCACAUGAGCUGUUUUAGAGAACCAGAGUCCUGGAAGUGCCUUUUUGAACUACCAUAGUAGUAGGGAAUAUGAGCGUAAUUAUGGCCCUGACCAUAAUUUUUAGGUUCAGCUAACUUACCAAAGGCUAUCAGCUUGUUUUAAAACAAAAUAGAAAAACUUGGGUUGACACUGACAUUGGUUGCCCAGGCCUUUCCCAGUGUGGUGGUGGUGAGGGUAUAAGAACUUUAGACUUGUUGCUGAGAACAUGAUUUAAAGUUCAGGGAGAUCUGGAGAUUCAAACAGGGGUGGGAAAUUGUUCUGUGUGAACAUACCAAUUAGAUACUAAAAGGGAACUUAAAAGAUAGUAGCAUUCUCGCUUUGGAGGAGUUUAGUUUUCUUGAGGAAGCAUGCUUAUAUGCACACAUCUGGAAAACUUGAGAAGUAAGGUUUUAUAAAUGGAUAUAGACCAGGCUAAGUCUAUGGCUGAAGGAAUCCGAGAAUAAGGAGCAAUUAGAAUUAGACACUUUAUCUUGGGACAACUUUUAGAGGCGGUGAUUUGUGAAGUUAAAUGUUUGAGAGGGGGGAAGUUAAAAUAUUAAUUUGCUUUUUCUUAAUGCUACUCUGAGUUCUGUGGGCUUUACAGAAUCCAAAUUACACAUCUAUCCACAGACCAAUAGUUGUCUCAUUCCAGUGACUGAAAAUUUGGGUUCUAACUAAAAUUUCCAUGAAAGAAAGUGGUUCCAGGAUCUUAGUGGUUCCUGUGGUUAUGUGGGGCCUUUGGUACAACCUGCCAAGUUCUUGGCCAAUUCAGGGGGCUCUUUUGUUGUAAUUUUGGGUUUGGAAGGUCAUGUCACCUUCAGAUUUGUGAGCCCUGGACAACUCUGAAGUGACAGUAGUUCAACUUUGGUUGGAGAGCCUGGGGUUUCUAUUUUUUGGCAGAGUUAAUUGACCUUCCUUAAAAUGUGCCAUGAAGUACCUGUUGGGACUGCCGCUAUUUUUGAAGGGCUGGGAGCCAAGCUUGAAGUGAGUUGCUUGGGUCAGGCCUUACAUUGAGGGUUGAUGGGUGGGCAAGCCUGCACGUACGCGGUUUGCUCAUCCGUUCACAAAAAUGGCUCUUAAUAUUGUUUUUUCAUGAGGUUGGCUAUGGCUAAGAAGCUCAUAAAUGAUGCAAAUACAUGUUUAUUCCUUAUGGGAGCCUCUGAAAUGUAGUGAUUUUUUCCCUCCAUGCUGUUCCAUAUGCUAUUGGACCACAUAUGACUUCUGGCACUUUUUGAGGGCUCUAAGUGGAUGCUGAACAGCUUGGAGUGUCCAGUGCCAUGCUACAGUGCUUCUACCUGGAAGAGAAGGAUGGGUUACUCAGUUCCAGUAUAGAAAUAUGGAGGCUUGACUACAGAUUUUAAUUUAGAAAUAUUUCUUCUAACUUCUUUUGCCUUGCCAUUCUGGCAUUUUGCGAAAGUGAGUUUCCAGUAACUUGGUAGCAUUGGCACCAUGGUUCACCUGCCACAGCAGGUGUGUAUGGGCUUGAGGUCAGUCCCAGGUUUUAGAGGAAUCCAGGUUAUUAACUGUCUUGACUAUUCCUCUCUUCAGUUGCCCCCCCUUGCUGCCCUGCCCCCUUAUUUAAAUGGAUAGAAUUAGUUUUUAUUGAAUGUGAAGGGACAUCUGAGUGAACUUUCAUUUGUUUUUGCUCAUCAUUUGUGCCUACUAGAAGAUGGUCUUGGAACAGGUUGAGUCUUUAUUCCCGGGUGGCUUCUGCAUUUUCUAAGGGUGUACUACAAUGGGAAGAAGUCUGAUGCCAAAAAUGCAUUCCAACAUGCUGAAGAGUAGGAAAUUUGAUCCCUAAAAUGUUGACUUAGUGUUGGUUAUGGUACAUAUUAGAAAUCACCCAGUAAUCCAGGACAGAUUUUUGUCGCCCUUCAGGAAGUUAAUGUUGAUAUGAAAUACUGAGGGGCUUUGGGCACUGGGGCUAUGUGCUCUCCAGGCUGCUUGAAUUGCCACCCAUAUGAAGAGGAAAUGUGCCAUGUGCUUUUUUUUUCUCUUGCAUUUGGGCUUCCUUAUGGCUUCAUUCCUUCUGGGUUCCCAAGUCUGCAGUGUUAGAUAUUAGAUUUCUUCCUUCCUUGGCCCUGGCACAUUCAUGAUUUUUUGUGGCUUAUCACCAGCAGCCAAAAUUUGUGUGUGCUUUUCCCUCUUAAACUUGUUAGCUUUCAGCUUACUUAUUUAUAGACAUCUCUGUUAAAAGGAACUCCCUCCAUCCCCCCAAGACCUAGCACCAGCAUGAUGGCAGCAGGGGAAUGUAGGAAUUGAUGUGAUAUUCGUUAUUUAAAAACUCAUUUGCUGUGUGCUCCAUGUUUUUUAUUUUGCCUCCUGUUUUCCUUAAGGUCAUAACUUGCUUUCCAGGCAUGAGUGCAUCUGAGUCCAGCUGUUUACUCUAAACUAACUCGUACCUAAUGUACUUUGACUUUUAAGAAAAGUGUGAGUUCAGCCUCGUGGUGGAGAAUUAAAGACUAAGUCAUUCAGGUUGCUUCCUUUUAGAGGAAACAGAUAUGUCUUUGGGCUCUUCUUGCCCAGUGAUUUUUCCCUCUCUCUCGUGUAGAUCUUAAUAUGGCUUUGUGUUCAUAGAGAACAAGUCAUCUGAGCAAUUAGUUGCUUUUUGUCUUCUUUGGCAUAUACAGAUGGCUUUUUCUCUUCCCCUUUGAGCAAUACGCAGUCUUGGUCCUAAAGUGGUAGUUUGUGAGGUGGUCCAGCAUUAGUUUAGGAGUGUGAAACUUUUUUUUUUUUAAUCCUUACCCAAGGACAUGCUUAUAGAUUUUAGAGAGGGG
Molecule: long non-coding RNA, 6652 nt
Organism: Phyllostomus discolor (pale spear-nosed bat)
Lineage: Eukaryota; Metazoa; Chordata; Mammalia; Chiroptera; Phyllostomidae
Exons: 2
Source: RefSeq, a predicted model, not a curated record